CGUCGGGUCACCAAGGGAGAAGGUGGCUUUUCGCUAAGGUGACGACUGACUACUGCGGCCCUGGGGUCAUCGACCUACGCUGGAGAGAUGCCCACGGAGGACCACGAUGGGAGCGAGCCCUGCGUGAAGUCACUUGUGUACGUGCGGAGGCGACCCAAACGUCUGCCACGCACACUCAGCCCCGAGCCCGAUUCUCUCCUAGUUGUAUGCGACCCUCUGGUUUCCCGACCCAGGGCAUCCUUGCUUCCACAGGCCCUUUCAUUUGCCCCCGCCUUCCCUUGACUCCUCCUACCCAGAUCGCUGCUCGUUUGCCCCGCCCUUUUUGUCCCAGCCGCAGUGACGUGACGUGCUCCGUGCGUGGGGAUUCCGUGGGACUGGUCCGAUUACCCAGUUCACCUUGCGCCCGGUGAACAAAUGAUCUCUGCCAGGCCGGGGCGUGAGUGCGUGAUGCUCCCCUACCCCGAGCGCCUUUCUAGGUCUGAGCUUAGGUUACACAGAUGUCAGCAUGAAGGCAGGCCCAAAUGGUGGUAAGGGAAACAAAGGUAAAGGUGGGAAGAGGCCUAGUUUAAAAACCAAGUAGCAGGUGGUGUCCAAUAGCGUCGGAUUCUGCCUGACCCUCUUUAUGUGUUUGAUGUAAAGUACUCCAGCUAAUUUUAAAGAUGAGAAGACUGAGGCAAACAGGGUUAAGGUUUCAACGUCACGAGAUGGUCUCUAAACCCAGAACUCUGGGAGAGGAAUCAUCCCGACCCCACCCACGGCACUCUGUUGAACUAAAAAAGCAUGGGUGCAGACCCAGGGAGCACUUCCUAGUCCUGGAACCGCUAGAAGCGCAGUGGAUAGAACAAUGGACCUGUUAUCAAGUUUGGUCUCACUAUCUACAUAAAAUGCAUACCUGAUUUCCCCAGUAGUAAAAUGGAGAUGAGAAUAUUUGCUAAAUACUUACCACAAAGCUUGGCACUCAAUGUGAACUAAAUAAAUGCAUAUUCCUUU
Sarcophilus harrisii (Tasmanian devil) is the source of this 990-nucleotide long non-coding RNA. RefSeq lists it as uncharacterized. The transcript has 2 exons. The record is from RefSeq and is a predicted model, not a curated record. Lineage: Eukaryota; Metazoa; Chordata; Mammalia; Dasyuromorphia; Dasyuridae.